RNAcentral lists this ribosomal RNA (730 nucleotides) under uncultured bacterium. Its description in RNAcentral is "bacterial SSU rRNA". It matches the Rfam family "Bacterial small subunit ribosomal RNA", at positions 102 to 828 of the family's 1533-position model. The record is from RNAcentral.
ACGGGUGAGUAACGCGUAUCCAACCUGCCCUUUACAACGGGACAGCCCGUCGAAAGGCGGAUUAAUACCGUAUGUUGUCAUGUUGAUGCAUAUUUUCAUGACCAAAGGCUUCGGCCGGUAAAGGAUGGGGAUGCGUCUGAUUAGCUUGCCGGCGGGGUAACGGCCCACCGGGGCGACGAUCAGUAGGGGUUCUGAGAGGAAGGUCCCCCACAUUGGAACUGAGACACGGUCCAAACUCCUACGGGAGGCAGCAGUGAGGAAUAUUGGUCAAUGGGCGCGAGCCUGAACCAGCCAAGUAGCGUGCAGGACGACGGCCCUAUGGGUUGUAAACUGCUUUUAUACGGGGAUAAAGUAUGCCACGUGUGGUUUAUUGCAGGUACCGUAUGAAUAAGGACCGGCUAAUUCCGUGCCAGCAGCCGCGGUAAUACGGAAGGUCCGGGCGUUAUCCGGAUUUAUUGGGUUUAAAGGGAGCGUAGGCCGGGUUUUAAGCGUGCCGUGAAAUGUCGGGGCUCAACCUUGACACUGCGGCGCGAACUGGAGUCCUUGAGUGCGCGGAACGUAUGCGGAAUUCGUGGUGUAGCGGUGAAAUGCUUAGAUAUCACGAAGAACCCCGAUUGCGAAGGCAGCAUACGGCAGCGCUACUGACGCUGAAGCUCGAAGGCGCGGGUAUCGAACAGGAUUAGAUACCCUGGUAGUCCGCGCGGUAAACGAUGGAUGCCCGCUGUUGGCG